This 262-nucleotide ribosomal RNA is filed under the name uncultured bacterium. RNAcentral describes it as "partial 16S ribosomal RNA". It matches the Rfam family "Bacterial small subunit ribosomal RNA", at positions 28 to 281 of the family's 1533-position model. The record is from RNAcentral.
GAUGAACGCUAGCUACAGGCUUAACACAUGCAAGUCGAGGGGCAGCAUGGUCUUAGCUUGCUAAGGCCGAUGGCGACCGGCGCACGGGUGAGUAACACGUAUCCAACCUGCCGUCUACUCUUGGACAGCCUUCUGAAAGGAAGAUUAAUACAAGAUGGCAUCAUGAGUCCGCAUGUUCACAUGAUUAAAGGUAUUCCGGUAGACGAUGGGGAUGCGUUCCAUUAGAUAGUAGGGCGGGGUAACGGUACCCGACCCUACGUAC